This 460-nucleotide ribosomal RNA is filed under the name uncultured bacterium. RNAcentral's name for it is "partial 16S ribosomal RNA". It matches the Rfam family "Bacterial small subunit ribosomal RNA", at positions 338 to 795 of the family's 1533-position model. The record is from RNAcentral.
CCUACGGGUGGCAGCAGUGAGGAAUAUUGGUCAAUGGGCGGGAGCCUGAACCAGCCAAGUCGCGUGAAGGAAGAAGGAUCUAUGGUUUGUAAACUCCUUUUAUAGGGGAAUAAAGGUAUCCACGUGUGGAUAUUUGCAUGUACCCUAUGAAUAAGCAUAGGCUAACUCCGUGCCAGAAGCCGCGGUAAUAUGGAGGAUGCGAGCGUUAUCCGGAUUUAUUGGGUUUAAAGGGAGCGUAGAUGGGUUGUUAAGUCAGCUGUGAAAGUUUGCGGCUCAACCGUAAAAUUGCAAUUGAUACUGGCAGUCUGGAGUGCAGUUGAGGUAGGCGGAAUUCGUGGUGUAGCGGUGAAAUGCUUAGAUAUCACGAAGAACUCCGAUUGCGAAGGCAGCUUACUAAACUGCAACUGACAUUGAUGCUCGAAAGUGUGGGUAUCAAACAGGAUUAGAUACCCUGGUAGUC